GGGGACCCGCAAGCGGUGGAUGAUGUGGAUUAAUUCGAUGCAACGCGAAAAACCUUACCUACCCUUGACAUGUACGGAAGCCCGGAGAGAUUCGGGCGUGCUCGAAAGAGAGCCGUAACACAGGUGCUGCAUGGCUGUCGUCAGCUCGUGUCGUGAGAUGUUGGGUUAAGUCCCGCAACGAGCGCAACCCUUGUCAUUAGUUGCUACAUUCAGUUGAGCACUCUAAUGAGACUGCCGGUGACAAACCGGAGGAAGGUGGGGAUGACGUCAAGUCCUCAUGGCCCUUAUGGGUAGGGCUUCACACGUCAUACAAUGGUACAUACAGAGGGCCGCCAACCCGCGAGGGGGAGCUAAUCCCAGAAAGUGUAUCGUAGUCCGGAUUGCAGUCUGCAACUCGACUGCAUGAAGUUGGAAUCGCUAGUAAUCGCGGAUCAGCAUGUCGCGGUGAAUACGUUCCCGGGUCUUGUACACACC
This 474-nucleotide ribosomal RNA is filed under the name uncultured bacterium. Its description in RNAcentral is "bacterial SSU rRNA". It matches the Rfam family "Bacterial small subunit ribosomal RNA", at positions 915 to 1391 of the family's 1533-position model. The record is from RNAcentral.